RNAcentral lists this long non-coding RNA (1295 nucleotides) under Anas platyrhynchos platyrhynchos (common mallard). RNAcentral describes it as "lncRNA (ENSAPLG00000026364.1)". The record is from RNAcentral. Lineage: Eukaryota; Metazoa; Chordata; Aves; Anseriformes; Anatidae.
CCUGUGAGAAUUAAUUCCAGAAACUUGGAUCAACCCAUUGAAAGGAAUGUUUUUGCCUCUGCAUAGACAAGUGAUACCUUCUGGGUAGAAUGCUUUUGCUGUGCCUGAGGAGGAGAUUUUGCAUCCCAGGUUCCCACCCUGGUGCCAAAGAGAUUCUUUGAAAGCCUGUCCACGCUGCCAGCUGCAGACAGACUCACUCCUCCUGCGUUAACCCCAGAACCAGAAGGGCGGUUCUGGAUAAACUGCCAAAUCAGGGCUGGAAGCAGAAUAGUCACGUUCACACACAAAGGGCAGGGUAUAUUAGCUUGGGCACAACGCCAAGUACAUGCAGCUAUACUGCUUCCAGAUGCAAACUGAGUGCUCUUGGGUGCUGCAAGGGACAGAGAGAAGUUCAUCUACAAGACUUUUGCCAUUUCCUGUGGAAGAAGAACCAUGCCAACAGCUCUGAUGUUUCUUAUUUGGCAUGAACUUGGUGUGGCUAUGGCCUUGCCAAGAAAAUUUUAUGAUGUUCAUGGAUGAACGCUUUCUGAAGUGCCAUUCUGGAUCCAGGAGCAGGAGUGUGUGCUGCAGCCAUACCUCCUGAUACACUAGCACAGUCAAAGAGCUGUGCUCUUCCUUCUCCCAUGUGCAUGGUCCCAGGGCUGCUUUAAAGAUCUCUGCCCUCAAUAGUUAGCAGUGUUUCCAGGAGUUACACCUGUUAUCUUGUACAUUCAUUAUGGCAGAGCAAUAACCUCUUCUGACCCUGACUUCUAUUUCUAUUCCAACUCUCAGACCAUAGUAGUUAUUAUUCAUAAAGGGAACAUAAUUAUUUUGAUUUACAACUUUGUAAUAUGAGCAAAGAUGUAUGUAAAAGGAAGGCAAGGAAGAAGGUUGAUCACUGUCUGCAAAGAAGCAAGAAAAGGCAGAAAGGGAUGAUCUGAACCUAGGUCACUUUUAAAGCCUAAACAAAGAGGAGAAACAAUGCAAGAGAAAAUUAUGAGGAGUCUUCUUUCAGGGGAAAUCUAUUCAAUUUCUAUCUUACUUGCUCCAUUUCACAGUAUUACUGAGGAAAGUUAUUUUUUCUUAUGUCAAGGCCUUACAUAAAAAACAAAGACGUGAAAAGGAAAAAAAUAUAACUGGGAAAAAGAAAGAGAGAGAGAGAACAUUCUAAGUAUUAGAGCUGUUCUCAAGUUUCGAAAAGUUGUAGUUCUGAAGGUUGUUGGUUUUUUUUGCCACAAUUUCAGAGGAACUUGGCAUACUUUUAUUAUUAUCAUUUUUAUAAUAAAAACCAUUGUGAAAUGUGAAAUAUAUUGUCU